RNAcentral lists this transfer RNA (71 nucleotides) under Candidatus Peribacteria bacterium. RNAcentral's name for it is "tRNA-OTHER". Lineage: Bacteria; Candidatus Peregrinibacteriota; Candidatus Peribacteria. The record is from RNAcentral.
GGGCCGUGGCCAGGUUGGCACGUAAGAAUCGACAAUCUUGCGUUAGGGUUCGAUUCCCUCACGGUCCACCA